Long non-coding RNA from Triticum aestivum (bread wheat), 3128 nucleotides. RefSeq lists it as uncharacterized. The transcript is spliced from 2 exons. The record is from RefSeq and is a predicted model, not a curated record. Lineage: Eukaryota; Viridiplantae; Streptophyta; Magnoliopsida; Poales; Poaceae.
AUCGAGGGAGAACGCUCCGAACGACAACGCAGCCCAGUCGCCCCACCCACAACACGCGACCCACUCCCCCGACAACCAUAUCCACUCCUCCCACUCUCAGUCACAUCUCGAAUCCUCGAGAGUUUCGACCGGCGCCCCUCGCCGCCGGGCAUGGAGGCCACCCCCCGCAAGCUCGUUUUCUUAUCCGGUGACGCACGGGCGGUGGAGGUGUCGCCACGCGCGCCGCGGCCUCGCUCGGAGGUGGAGGAGCGAGUAGAGAGGGCGCGCUCGGUGGGCGGCAUGGCGAGGCAGAAGGUGGAGAGGGAGUGGGCGGCCAUGCCUCGGCGGAGCAGAGUGGGAUGAGGCGGAGCAGGAAGCCUCGAUGGUGUGCGACGUCGGGAGGGAGGCGAGAUAGGCGGAGAGCACGGGGGAGACGAGGUCGUGGCGGUUCACGGCAUCGUGGGUCACCGGCAGCACACGGUGGCAGGAGGUGAAGAAGAUGAGGUCAUGGCAGCCAGGGCGGCGAGAGUUGCGGAGCCGAGGAAGGGAGGUUGCGGAAGGCCCGCGAGGAAGACGGAGGCGACCUCGCGGAGGGGAAGGGGAGCAGCGGGCGGACGAACGCGGAGGCGGAGCUCAACAUGCCGCCUGGCUUCCGCUUCCACCUCACGAACGACGAGCUCGUCGUGCACUACCUCUGCAGGGAGGUGGCGGCCCAGCCGCAGCCGUGCCCCUCAUCGCCGAGCUCGCUCUGUACAAGUUCAACCCCUGGGUCUGCCUGGUGCGUCUUCUUCCUCUUCCCUGCUGCUCGCUACCAUGUUUUCCUCCUCCUGCUUCGUCACUCAUUGGUUUCGUCUGAUUCAACAAUGUAUGAUGGCCGUUGGGUACGUGCAGAACAUGCAGCGCAGGGAGUGGCACUUUUCCUGUUUGAACUAGCUUGUUUUUUUUGUACAAGUUCAACUAUGAAAAUGCAUGUAAAUUUGAACCUUUUGUUUUGCCCCUCCUGAGUGUGAAUUGUGUGAGGACUAGCCUUUAUGUUCUGUUUAUAGGUGUGGCAAAAAUGCUGAACUGAUGGAACCUGCUACUGAAACUGAUCUGAAGCAAAAAUGCUAAACUGAUAUGAAACAAAAGAAGUCAAUUUCCUUUAGCAUGGGACAUGCUACUGAAAUUUGCCAUAUACCCAUUUUGACAGUAGCAUGGCAAUUUCUAUAAGUAUGUAUAUCAUGGCAAUUUCAGCUCUUUGCGUAUCGAAGAUGCUCUUUUAUGCCAUGGCAACAAGUUCUUUUUUUUUUUUGCCAUGGCAACAAAUAGAGUUCUUCUUUAUUGCAUAGUUUUUGAAGUAUGGCAACUAAAAAUCUAAGUUUUGCACGGCAACUAUACAUGUUUUGCCAUGGCAAGUGAAGGUAUUUUUUGCCCACGGCAACUACACAUGUUUUGCCAUGGCAAGCGAAGUUAUUUUUUGCCCACGACAACAACUAAAUUUUUUAUACAGCAGAUUUUUUAAGUUUUGCCAUAGCAAAGAUGCAAUGUUUGUUUGCCUUGGCAAAUUUUGCAAAGUUCAUGGCAAUUUUCAUCUCUGUCCUUGUUCACAAACAACGCCAUUUUUUGCUCUAUAUGACAACAUUUAUGUGAUUUGGCAUGGCACUUUUUAUCUAAAAACAUGGCAAACUUGUCAUGGCAACUUUAACAUGUUCAAAAACAUGGCAACUUAACAUGUUUCAAAAACAUGGCGAACUUGCCAUGGAAAACUUAAGAUGUUUUUGGCAUAUGUAUUAACGAGGCACGGGAAUUGUAGUCACGGGCAUGGCAACAAUACUUUUAUUCACAGCCAAAAGUGGGAUUUUUCUACGAUUUUCUUGCCAUGGCAACUUUACUUUUAAUGAUAUGGGAAAUUUUUACUUUAAUUUUUUACAUGGAAAUUUUAUUGUAUAAAGCAUGGCAAUUUAAUUUUAAAUAUGAUGGCAAAUUUGCAUUUUCAGAACAUGACAAAUUUUAAUAUGUAGCCAUGGCAAUUUUUAAUUUAUUUCCAUGGCAAAAAUAGAAAUGCUCCAUUUUUGCCAUGGCAAUUUUUAAUCAUUUUUGCCAUGGCUUAUUUUUAAUGACAUGGUAAAUAUUACUUUUUUUCAUGGCAAAUUUAUUUUAAAGAGCAUGGCAAUUUUUAUUUAAAUAUGAUGGCAAAUUACAUUUUCCGGAACAUAGAAAAUUUUACUACGUGGCAUGGUUAAUAUACUUGUGUUCUCAUGGCAAUUUUUAAUUUAUUUUCCAUGGCAACAUUUAAUCCUUUUUUGCCAUGGCAAAAUUUACUCCAUUUUUUCCAUGUCAAAAAUACUUCUAUUCACAUGGCAAAUUUUUGUUUAAUUUGCCAUGGCAAGUUUUUCUGCUUUUUACAUUUGUGUAUUGAACGAUGGCAAAGCUAAUAAUUUUUGAUCCAUCGACAUGUCAUUGCUCAAAACUAUUUUAUACAUACCCAAUAGUAAUUUCUGUACAAAUAUUUUUUGUUCUAUCCUAUAUGUCCAUUUUUUGUGCUUUUUUGUUUUUUCAUUAUAUCAUGGCAAACUUUUCAAACUCAAUUUUAAUGAAGUGUGUAUGAACAUCAUGGCAAAUCAUGUAAAUUUCUGCAAUAUACCCUUUUUUUAUGAUUAUAUAGUAGUUUUUUUCAUUAGAGCAUGGCAACUUUUUGUUCCUAGAUUUUUUCCAGUGAGUGUUUUUCUUUGGUCUAGUGAAUUUUUUAGGCUUUUUUAUGUUUUCUCUAUUUGUUGGGACAGAAGCAGUUUUGGGCCUAGAAUAUUGUAUUUUUUUUGUUUUUUAAUUCUUGAAGGCAAUGAUGUUGGGCUGGUACCAUUGUCCUGGCCCGCUGGAGGGAGGGACGGCUGGAGGGAGGGAGCAGGUCGUUCAGGAGGAAGGGAGAUCGGACCGAACGGAAUCGUUCGGGAGCUCCCGUCUCCUGACCGAACAAUACGUUCGAUCUGGCUCCUCCUCUCACCGAACGUCCGCGCGAUAUCGGGGUCCAAGAUAACCUGUGUUCUGAAUCCUGGAAUUCUGACUGAAGUGCAUGUAGUGGCAGUUUUUCUGAACGAUGACUUUGCUGAUGCGUGUGUUGCAUUGUUAUUCGACAGCCAGCAAUGCAAUCUAGUUGCGUUGUUCAAACUGAA